Molecule: long non-coding RNA, 520 nt
Filed under: Homo sapiens (human)
Lineage: Eukaryota; Metazoa; Chordata; Mammalia; Primates; Hominidae
Description: non-protein coding lnc-FAM46A-3:2
Source: RNAcentral
UUAGUUAGCAAUUUGUCUAACCUUUUUUCAAGUUCUUAGCUUCCUUGCAUUGGGUUAGAACAUGUUCCCUUAGCUUGGAGGAGUUUGUUAUUACCCCCUUCUGAAGAAUACUUCUGUCAAUUUGUCAAAUCCUCUGGAAGCUUCAUUUCAGAGGGGCACCUGCCAGAUGCCAGCCCGAGCUCUCCUGUAUGACGUGUCUGUUGACCCCUGCUGGGAGGUGUCUCCGGGUCGGGAGGCACGGGGGUCGGGGACCCAUUUGAGGAGGCAGUCUGUCCCUUAGCAGAGCUCCAGUUCUGUGCUGGGAGAUCCACUGCUCUCUUUAGAGCCAGCAGGCAGGAAUGUUUAAGUCUGCUGAAGCUGCACCCACAGUCACCCCUUCCCCCACGUGCUCUGUCCCAGGGAGAUGGGAGUUUUAUCUAUAAGCCCCUUAAUGGGGCUGCUGCCUUUCUUUCAGAGAUACCCUGCCCAGGGAGGAGGAAUCUAGAAAGGCAUUCUGGCUACAGCAGCUUUGUGGUGCUGC